UGAAAUUAUGUAUUGCUUCAAAAGACGGUUAUAAAUAAAAGCGUGGUGUGACUGUGAAAAACUUUGAGCGCCAAUCUUCCCACCAUUUAGUGGUGCCAGUUUUCACCCCAAACCCUAAGCUUUAGCUUCAUCUGAUAACAAGAAAGUUAGAACAUAUAUUGGUUGGUACAACGGAUGAGUCUAAAACUGUGGUAUGAAUGAAGUCAAUUAGCAAGAGAGAAAUUAGAAAUAUGUCCCCCCAAAGCGCAAACCCAAAAUUCAAAAUUUGAACAUUUGGACAACAUGAUUGUAUGAGGGCUUGUCCAUUAACUCAAGAGCCCGUGUCCACGCCCGUGUCCAUGCCCUAAACGAGGGGUUGCCCUCUACACUCGGGCAAAAAAUUAAAACCCUCUUCGACAUAUCUAGCCUUUCUCUCUAUCUUCGACAACUUUCUUCCUUGGCCUUUCUCUCGACAACUUGUAUUCAACAAAACCAUUCCUCUACAAACUGCGACCCCGACCACGACCAUCACUCGUCGACAAAACCUGACCCCGACCGCAACCAUCACUCUUCGACAAUGCUAAUAUUAGAACCAACUCUGCUUCAAGGGUUCUUCAAAUCGCUUCCCUUUCCCUUCCCAUUGCUGUAGGGUUCUUCAGAUCUCUUGGCGGUGGUGAUUGUUGCUUUAUUUGGUUGCUUGUGGCUUCAAUUGGCUUCGAUUCGGCAGUGGCUGUAGCUUUGGACGUUGAGGUUGGUCACGUGAGAGGUUGAAAUUGAGUUCUGGCGACUAUAGAUCUGAAUCGAACUCUCAACUCAAUUUUCUUCUGAGGCAGCAUAGGUACCUUUCCUUCAACAACGACGAGGCCAGAUCCCCAUUCAUUCAUUGCUGAAUUCGAAAUCCCCAAUUUUCUAGGGUUUCAAUUUUCAACCUCAACCCCCAAACCAUGGCCUUAUUCAAGAAGGCUCAGGUCAUGGACUAAACUUGGAGUUAUGACAGCUUCUCAGCGCAAUAUAAGAUUUGUAGAAAGGCAAAAGGGGAGGAAGUUUCGGAAGUGGAGGGUUUUGUUUUGGGUUGUUUACUAUCUCUGUUUGCCUUGCUUUAUGGUGAGUGACUCCUAUAUCUGAAUUUGUGUUUUCCUUGAGAAUAAGCUUUUCUUGAUUUUGUAUUUACUGUUUUCAUUAUGCUCUUUGUGAGAUUGGUCUUGUGAAUGUGAGGUUUCGUAUUCAAUGUUCUAUGAAUUUUUGGUUGUGGACUAAGAUGGUGAUUUCUGAUUGUUUCUACAUCUCUAGUUUCCCACAUGUUAUUUCGGACUAGUAAGGGUGAGCAAUUGCUCAGUGAAGUUUGUUUUGUUUCCUUCUGACACUUUGGUGUUAGAAAUUGGGUGUUUUUGGUUCUACGAUGCCUAUCAAAUGUGGUGUCAAUCCUCUAUUUUCUUUUGUACUUGGAAUUGAUGUGAACUGUUUUGGGAUUAGUUUUGGAUAUUGUAUUUGUUAGAAGUGUUCUUCAAUUUAUUAUUAACCUUUGAAAUUAGGUUGGUGUGACAGUUUUUGAGUUCGGUAAUUAUGUGAUUAAGGGAAUGUUUGUUUCUUUUCCCUCAAUUCUUAUGGGGUUUAGAUUUUAUUGCAAAAAGCUCAGUUUUGUGAUUAUAUUUCUAAGGUCAGAGGACUUUUGAGUCUUAUGUUGGCUGUUUAUCGAAUUGACGUUGGUGGAAAAGUUGAAUUCCAAUUGUGUGUGACUUCAAGUUAGAACUGAUAGUAUUUAGUUGUUGUUACUUUGAUUUAUUAGCGUUUCCAAUCUUGUAAAGCUAUUUUGGGAUGGGUUGUCGAUUAUACUUUGAAGAGUAGUGUGUUUUGGUUUAAUUUGACAUUCUGACAUAGUCAAAGGAGAAGUCGAGAACCUGUUAUUUCGUUCUCUUUAUUUGAUCUUUAUGUUCUGCUUGUGGUCUUGCAAUUAUCUAUGUUAAGAGCUUUUUGAGAAUAUACAUUUCUGUUAUAUUUGUGAACCAUAUUAGUCUUAUUAGAAGCUUCAAUUCAUUGGUGUCACUUGCAUCGGAUUCAUUCUUUUCUUCUUGAUUUUGUUGUUGGGUUUUAAGCGUCUCGGCAUAUGGCUUCUGGUGGUUAGUAGUGAAAUCAGAUCUCUAAAAUGUAAUGCUAGAAGAAGUCGGCAUAUGUCUAUUCUGUAGCUUAGAUGCUUUUUAUAAGUCGACGUUGUGCAAAAUUAAUAUGUUUUUGAUGGUUGAUAUGAUUUCCUUCUGCAUCAGGCUAUGUCAAGAAUGCCAAACUUUGAUUGAAAACCAUUCUAAGAUAAAGCUUCUCAGCAAUGUGAGGAAUAACUUGAAUACAACCUUAAAGGUUUAUGAACUUUGUUCUUAUGAAUUUUCAAUUUUCGGUUCACAAAGAGAAGGAGAUUGUGCCUGGUUAGAACUGUUUGCUUCAUGCAAGAAUGAUAAUUGAUGAAUACUUUUCAGUUUUCAUUAUGUCUUAUUAUCGAGUUCAUGAAUUAUGAUUUGAAGAUUACAGUGGCCAAAAAACCUGAUCAUUUUUUAUGAAAAGGUAUGGGGAUUAUACAAUGAUUAUAUUUUUACCUAUAUAUGGCAGUGAUAAAACAGUUAACUGAAUUGUUUGCUUGAUCUAGAAAAAGGCGAGUGGUAAAGCAAGUAGGAAGCAAAAAAGGAAUCAGUUUAGCCCAUAUUCAGAUGCUGAGUUUGACUUGCAGUCACUCCCAUCUAGCUUGCAAGCCUCAUUGAAAAAGUUAUGUGAGUGGGGAAAAGAAGGGUUCAAAGAUGGGAAAGCCAUUUGUUUUUAUAAAGAAGAGCCCAUAUUUGGUUAUCAUGAUAAGAGCUUUCUACUUGACGUAGAAGUUAUGAGGCUUGCACACAUGGCACAAGUAACAUCAAGCUGCAUAGUGGUGCAUUUAAGGUACUUGCAUGAUGUAUUAAAACAAUGUAAAAUGCAAGACAUGUAUCAAAGUCUGAGGACAGUGACAAAGUUUGCACAUAAAAGUUUUAUGGUUGCUGCUGGUUUCUAACGUGUUAUUGUUGAAUGUGUGUGAGUUUAAAAUUAUGAUUUGAAACUGUCAACAGUGGGCUAGGAGAGCCAACCAUACUUAUGGUCAAGCGGAACUUGAUGAAGUGCGUAAUGAGAUUGCAAAUUAUGUGAUCAAGAACCUGCUAAAGCUGUGAAGUGUUGGUCUUUUUGGGGUACAGUAAAAUAUGCAACAUCUCAAGUGCAUGCGUUAGGCUAGAUGUUGGUCCUUUUUGGGUUGGCCUGAAUUGCAUGUCCUCUAUAGAUGAGAUUAUGUAAGACGAGACUAUUUUAGCCACAUUUGUGGAUUUAUUUUGCUAUUGGAGAUCCGUAGACGUGAUCAUUUCCGUUUUGUGGAUAAAAUUACCAUUAUUGGAUCCAUUUGUGGGAUUAUAAUAGCUAUUUAUUAUGACAGGAUUACUGGUCAUUUUGUCAA
This is an RNA transcript of Rosa chinensis, 3439 nucleotides long. RefSeq lists it as uncharacterized. NCBI's taxonomy places the organism in Eukaryota, Viridiplantae, Streptophyta, Magnoliopsida, Rosales, Rosaceae. The record is from RefSeq and is a predicted model, not a curated record. The transcript has 5 exons.